Molecule: ribosomal RNA, 1346 nt
Filed under: uncultured bacterium
Lineage: Bacteria
Description: partial 16S ribosomal RNA
Rfam family: Bacterial small subunit ribosomal RNA
Source: RNAcentral
GACGAACGCUGGCGGCGUGCUUAACACAUGCAAGUCGAACGGAAAGGCCCUGCUUUUGUGGGGUGCUCGAGUGGCGAACGGGUGAGUAGCACGUGAGUAACCUGCCCUUGACUUUGGGAUAACUUCAGGAAACUGGGGCUAAUACCGGAUAGGAGCUCCUGCUGCAUGGUGGGGGUUGGAAAGUUUCGGCGGUUGGGGAUGGACUCGCGGCUUAUCAGCUUGUUGGUGGGGUAGUGGCUUACCAAGGCUUUGACGGGUAGCCGGCCUGAGAGGGUGACCGGCCACAUUGGGACUGAGAUACGGCCCAGACUCCUACGGGAGGCAGCAGUGGGGAAUAUUGCACAAUGGGCGGAAGCCUGAUGCAGCAACGCCGCGUGCGGGAUGACGGCCUUCGGGUUGUAAACCGCUUUCGCCUGUGACGAAGCGUGAGUGACGGUAAUGGGUAAAGAAGCACCGGCUAACCACGUGCCAGCAGCCGCGGUGAUACGUAGGGUGCGAGCGUUGUCCGGAUUUAUUGGGCGUAAAGGGCUCGUAGGUGGUUGAUCGCGUCGGAAGUGUAAUCUUGGGGCUUAACCCUGAGCGUGCUUUCGAUACGGGUUGACUUGAGGAAGGUAGGGGAGAAUGGAAUUCCUGGUGGAGCGGUGGAAUGCGCAGAUAUCAGGAGGAACACCAGUGGCGAAGGCGGUUCUCUGGGCCUUUCCUGACGCUGAGGAGCGAAAGCGUGGGGAGCGAACAGGCUUAGAUACCCUGGUAGUCCACGCUGUAAACGGUGGGUACUAGGUGUGGGGUCCAUUCCACGGGUUCCGUGCCGUAGCUAACGCUUUAAGUACCCCGCCUGGGGAGUACGGCCGCAAGGCUAAAACUCAAAGGAAUUGACGGGGCCCCGCACAAGCGGCGGAGCAUGCGGAUUAAUUCGAUGCAACGCGUAGAACCUUACCUGGGUUUGACAUGGAUCGGGAGUGCUCAGAGAUGGGUGUGCCUCUUUUGGGGUCGGUUCACAGGUGGUGCAUGGCUGUCGUCAGCUCGUGUCGUGAGAUGUUGGGUUAAGUCCCGCAACGAGCGCAACCCUUGUUCACUGUUGCCAGCACGUUAUGGUGGGGACUCAGUGGAGACCGCCGGGGUCAACUCGGAGGAAGGUGGGGAUGACGUCAAGUCAUCAUGCCCCUUAUGUCCAGGGCUUCACGCAUGCUACAAUGGCUGGUACAGAGAGUGGCGAGCCUGUGAGGGUGAGCGAAUCUCGGAAAGCCGGUCUCAGUUCGGAUUGGGGUCUGCAACUCGACCUCAUGAAGUCGGAGUCGCUAGUAAUCGCAGAUCAGCAACGCUGCGGUGAAUACGUUCCCGGGGCU